CAAUAGCGUAUAUUUAAGUUGCUGCAGUUAAAAAGCUCGUAGUGGGAUUUCGGGUGGGAAUGGCCGGUCCGCCGUUUCGGUGUGCACUUGCUACGCCCACCUUGCUGCCGGGGACGUGCUCUUGAGUUCACGCUCGGGACACGGAGUCGGCGAGGUUACUUUGAGUAAAUUAGAGUGUUCAAAGCAGGCCUACGCUCUGAAUACAUUAGCAUGGAAUAACACGAUAGGACUCUGGCCUAUCUUGUUGGUCUGUAGGACCGGAGUAAUGAUUAAGAGGGACAGUCGGGGGCAUUCGUAUUUCAUUGUCAGAGGUGAAAUUCUUGGAUUUAUGAAAGACGAACUACUGCGAAAGCAUUUGCCAAGGAUGUUUUCAUUAA
Molecule: ribosomal RNA, 377 nt
Filed under: uncultured eukaryote
Lineage: Eukaryota
Description: partial 18S ribosomal RNA
Rfam family: Eukaryotic small subunit ribosomal RNA
Source: RNAcentral